GAGAAAUUAGAUCUGGUUGAUCUAAACUGUUUCAUCAACGAGUUAUUAAGAAGCUACGUGGGUUAGUUACACCGUAACGAUAUUGUUUUGGGUUUUGUUUUAUUUUUUCUUUUGGGUUUCUGAUUUUUGAUACCUUGUACUUGGUAUAAGAAGUUAGAUCUAUAGUUUGAUUAUGUGAGAUAUGUUCAGUUGUGUGUUUUAUGUUUGGUUUUGGUUUUGUUUUUUGUUUUCCUCUUAUUUUGCAGCAAGUAUGUCUGAGAUUUGAAGUUGAAAAAUACCAGAAAAGUAUGUUAAAUGUAUACUACGUUUUAAUGGCUUACUUAGAUUAUAGAUAGUAGACUAACAAGUUUUAGCAUACAUACCUUAUAGGCUUUGGUGCAAUAGAAGAUUCAAAGUAUACAAGGUGUUUUUAAUUUAAGUUACUCAUUUUGCUGAUUGUUAUGAUUGAUUAAUAUGUCAGGAAGAAAUUGUGAAGAUUUAGGAGAUAUUUGAGCAAUAUUGGUAUAUCAUGUGUUGCACUGUAGUGGGUAUCUUCUUAUUGGAGGAGGAUUUGGGCACGACUUUUCUUGAGAUACUUUAUUUUCUUCUUUGGUGGUGCGGAUUCUUGAAUCCAAGAAUGCUUUGAUUAUUGGAACUUAUGGUUAUUGGCUCUACGUGGCUGCGAAUUCCAAGCCCAACUGGUAACUGCAAGUGGGAGUUAUCUUGUUUAUGAUAUUCAUGUAUUAUUAUUUGUCAAUGGAACAAAUGUUCAUCAUGAAUGGGAGAUGAAAAACAGUUAGGUAUUCAUCAAGAAGAAGAAGAAGUUAGUUACAUUCAAGAGGAAGAAGAAAAAUAAAGUAUUAUUUCAUUGAUUAAUCAAUAAUGACUACAACAUAGGUUGGUAGAGUGAGGACUGCCCCCACUUAUAAACACAUGUUCAUGCCAUAUAUUAUCCGAUGUGGGACUCUUAACACCCCCCUCGUGCCCAGGACUGGACAUCUGGAGCGUGGAAAUAAAUGGUGGAUGGCCCGAUAGCGGAAACCAUAGUAGGUGGUCCACCGGAUCUUAAACCAGGCUCUGAUACCAUGUUAAGAAUGUGUGAUUUGGCCUAACUCAACCCUACAAAACCGGUUGGUAGAGUGAGGACUACCCCCACUUAUAAACACAUGUUCAUGCCAUAUAUUGUCCGAUGUGGGACUCUUAACACACCCCCUCACGCCCAGGACUGGACAUCUGGAGCGUGAAAAUAAAUGGUGGAUGACCCGAUAGCGGAAACCAUAGUAGGUGGCCCACCGGAUCUUAAACGAGACUCUGAUACCAUGUCAAUGGAACAAAUGCUCAUCAUGAAUGGGAGAUGAAAAACAGUUAGGUAUUCAUCAAGAAGAAGAAGAAGUUAGUUACAUUCAAGAGGAAGAAGAAAAAGAAAGUAUUGUUUCAUUGAUUAAUCAAUAAUGAUUACAACAUAGUUUAUAUAUACAAAAAAAUGUUAUGUAGUGUAAGCUAAGGUGUGUGCUCUGUACAAUAUAAUGUGCUAUUUCUAAUAUUAUUCUACUGUCAAAACCAUAAACAUGCGCAGUGUUUGAUUUUGGUGACUUUAUCAUGAUUUUGUAUUAUAAAACAACUAUUAGUUACUAUUAUGGAUUUGUAUAGUAAAUAUUUCACUACUUUA
Molecule: long non-coding RNA, 1648 nt
Organism: Lathyrus oleraceus (garden pea)
Lineage: Eukaryota; Viridiplantae; Streptophyta; Magnoliopsida; Fabales; Fabaceae
Exons: 2
Source: RefSeq, a predicted model, not a curated record